AAGGCUUUACCUUAAUUAAAGGGUCUGAUUUGCAUUCAGAACAUGUAGACUAACAUCUACAAGUCUUC
Molecule: transfer RNA, 68 nt
Filed under: Hyperolius marmoratus (marbled rush frog)
Lineage: Eukaryota; Metazoa; Chordata; Amphibia; Anura; Hyperoliidae
Description: tRNA-Ala
Source: RNAcentral